RNAcentral lists this ribosomal RNA (1117 nucleotides) under uncultured organism. Its description in RNAcentral is "bacterial SSU rRNA". It matches the Rfam family "Bacterial small subunit ribosomal RNA", at positions 302 to 1424 of the family's 1533-position model. The record is from RNAcentral.
GAUCCCCCACACUGGUACUGAGACACGGACCAGACUCCUACGGGAGGCAGCAGUGAGGAAUAUUGGGUCAUGGAGGGCACUCUGAACCAGCCAAGCCGCGUGAAGGAAGACUGUUCUAUGAAUUGUAAACUUCUUUUGUGGUAGAGUAAAUAUAGCUACGUGUAGUUAUUUGCAAGUAUACCAUGAAUAAGCAUCGGCUAACUCCGUGCCAGCAGCCGCGGUAAUACGGAGGAUGCAGGCGUUAUCCGGAUUUAUUAGGUUUAAAGGGUGUCUAGGCUGCCACAUAAGUCAGGGGUGAAAGUCGGUUGCUCAACAAUCGAAUUGCCCUUGAAACUGUGUGGCUCGAGUAUAGAUGAGGUAGGCGGAAUGUGUAGUGUAGCGGUGAAAUGCAUAGAUAUUACACAGAACCCCAAUUGCGAAGGCAGCUUACCAAACUAUUACUGACGCUGAAGCACGAAAGCGUGGGUAGCGAACAGGAUUAGAUACCCUGGUAGUCCACGCCGUAAACUAUGCUCACUCGCUGUUGGCAAUAGAUCGUCAGCGGCUAAGGGAAACCGAUAAGUGAGCCACCUGGGGAGUACGAUCGCAAGAUUGAAACUCAAAGGAAUUGACGGGGGCCCGCACAAGCGGAGGAACAUGUGGUUUAAUUCGAUGAUACGCGAGGAACCUUACCUGGGCUUAAAUGUAGAGUGCAUAAAGUGGAAACAUUUUUUUCCUUCGGGACUCUUUACAAGGUGCUGCAUGGUUGUCGUCAGCUCGUGCCGUGAGGUGUCGGGUUAAGUCCCAUAACGAGCGCAACCCCUAUCGUUAGUUACCAGCACGUAGUGGUGGGGACUCUAGCGAAACUGCCGGUGUAAACCGUGAGGAAGGUGGGGAUGACGUCAAAUCAGCACGGCCCUUAUGUCCAGGGCUACACACGUGUUACAAUGGUCGGUACAGUGGGCAGCCACAUAGCAAUAUGGAGCUAAUCUCAAAAGCCGAUCUCAGUUCGGAUUGGAGUCUGCAACCCGACUCCAUGAAGGUGGAUUCGCUAGUAAUCGCGCAUCAGCCAUGGCGCGGUGAUACGUUCCCGGGCUGUACACACCGCCCGUCAGCCAUGGAAGUUUGGGGUGCCUGA